Talpa occidentalis (Iberian mole) is the source of this 748-nucleotide long non-coding RNA. RefSeq lists it as uncharacterized. Lineage: Eukaryota; Metazoa; Chordata; Mammalia; Eulipotyphla; Talpidae. The record is from RefSeq and is a predicted model, not a curated record. The transcript has 4 exons.
UCUGGUGCUGCCCCUCCAGAGCCCUGUCCUGUGCCCUGCGUCCCUCCAGUGCUGAGGGCAGCAGAACCUGCCCCCCAAACGCGCCCUUGGACACAGGAUUAUGUGGAGCUGAGGACAAUGGAAAGACAGCAGAUGCCAUAAAGGCGCUCUGCUCUCAAGCCUCACAGCAGGCUCUAGUCGCCCACCAGCUCUGAGAGCCCGAAGGGAACCCCCAUAACAAGCUGCGGGCCAUGCACGGCAAGGAAGUGAGCGACAAGACGACCUGCGGACGGGGGAAGUGUUCGCAAGGCACAUGUCUGGGGUGACAGUCUGCUCUAAGCCUCCUGGCGCCCUGUCAGAAGCAAGAGGAGACGUCAGCCCCACGCGUCACUCUUCUCCACCCCGAGCUCUCUAAGAAAGGAGCGAGGCUGACCCUGAGAGUUUCACCUCAGCAGCCGCCCACCCCAGCCCCUCACCUGGGACAGGCAUCACGAACAGGAAGAGCAAGGCCAGCAGCAGUCUUCAAAAUCCGUGCUCCAAGCCAGCGAGUGCUAAAGGCCUGUUACUCCCCCUCGUGCUGACGCCGCCGUAUUGUUACCAGCUAGAGUAACCCUGGGCCACACACUGUCCUGAAUCCUCUGUGAACAUCCUGAGACUUAGCCGUGCGGUGGGAUCUUAGAUGGCGGGAGUCACCAGCUGCCUCCAACGUGUGCCCUGGUCCACGUGUUCUCACUGCGUGUUGUGUGUGAGGUAAUGCUGACAUCUGGCC